This 21-nucleotide microRNA is filed under the name Drosophila sechellia. RNAcentral's name for it is "dse-miR-982b". Its record names the gene dse-miR-982b. The record is from miRBase by way of RNAcentral. Lineage: Eukaryota; Metazoa; Arthropoda; Insecta; Diptera; Drosophilidae.
AAAUACAGGAUAUUCGUUCUU